GGCGAGACAAGGCGGCGAGAGACUUGUGCUCCUGCUGUUCGAAGUGGAGAGCGCCGCCGCGAGGACCCGGGCGUACGGCGACGGUGAGUGAGGUAGUGGGGGUCGUCGGAUUCGAUAGUGGGGGAACGGGAACUGAGCUUACAUGGGCCACAGAACCUAGUAGAACGUCCCAUUUUGUUUACGAACUUCCCGUCAUCUUUUUAGAAAAUUGCGUACAUUAUAAGAUUGGUGCUUGCAGGUGAAUCAAAUACAGCUUCCUCUCCCUCUUCUCUAUUCCUCUCCUCAAGCACGAACACUAGCUGACGAUGCCGUCGCUGCUGUAGCACCGUUGCUAUUGCUGUGCAGUCGUCAACUGAGGCUAAGGUUAAGGUUCAAGGACUCCAUCUCCCGCUUAUGGAAG
Molecule: long non-coding RNA, 400 nt
Filed under: Setaria italica (foxtail millet)
Lineage: Eukaryota; Viridiplantae; Streptophyta; Magnoliopsida; Poales; Poaceae
Description: long non-coding RNA (SITA_LNC006584)
Source: RNAcentral